Molecule: long non-coding RNA, 3778 nt
Filed under: Homo sapiens (human)
Lineage: Eukaryota; Metazoa; Chordata; Mammalia; Primates; Hominidae
Description: non-protein coding lnc-AGO3-2:1
Source: RNAcentral
GUUAUUUCUAUGCAUGGGGGUAAGAAGGCUCAGAGAAGGAUCCUGGCGGAUACCCCAGUGAGAAAUCGUCAGUGGCAGCCAGUGUGUACAUACGUGGACCUAGCAUUCCUCUGGAGGCCAAGUGUUGUAAAUUGGCCUGUGGCUAUCAUCUGGCAGACUCCCUUGGGAAAGAGCCAGCCAGCCCCAUGCUUCUUUUCAGCAGCAAGGGUUAGGGAGGUUGGUUGAACUUGAAGAGCAGAUUGGACAUGGAGCAGAUUUUGACCAGUUGAAAUAAGACAUAAAUUUAUGACUCCGAGUGAGGCAGAAAUAAAGAACUUAGCAGGGGGAAUAGGAGGAGGAUGAUUAUGGCAAAUUUUGCUAUAAACUUUAGUUUUAGAAAAGAUUGAUAUUGAAAAGCCUUCAGGAUUUGCCUGUGGUUGCUACUCAAGUUAAAAAGACUGGGAGCCUGCAUUGUUUGGUCCUGGAGCUCAAGGUUUUCAGUGAAGGCUUGUCCUGGCACCUCUGGGCAUUCCUUUUCAUUACUGGUUGAGCAUCCUUCCUUCUGCUCUGUCAAUUGGCAAAAUAUGCUGGAGCACAUUCUGGACUAGCAGUUGCCUUGGGGUAGUCAGGCUGGGUAUUUGUUUGGUAUCUCUUGGUGUAGCAGACCCCAGAAUCUCAUGGCAAUUAGGAUUUGGUGGCUAAACGAAAGAGUUAGUGCAAGGAAAAGCCUAGUUGGAAUUUCUGAGUCUGGGCCAUCCUUAAGCUGCUGUCUACUGCCUGAAUGGGAAGUAAUGUCGAAUUGGAAAAUUAGCUCACCAUUUUUGUUCUAGCUUUGCAGACAUUUAUUCCUCUGAUGAUAGGCUGAGAAAUGCCUAGGCCGGCUUAGAAGGCACACAGCAUGACAGAAGUACUCCUUCAAAGCAGCUGUGUCAAGAAGGAAGAGCUGGAAAAGUGGAUUUGCUGGGGAAUUAGAUGCAUUUAGUUUUCCACUUACGCACAACUGCCUUCUCCAGUAUAUCAUACCAAGGUUUUUUAGGCCUUUGUGGCUUACCCUGCAGGAACAUACUGUGUCCUGUUGUUCUGGACUGUAGCAUCUUCACCACCAUCCUCUUGGCAAUGGUUUUUUGUUUGGGGUUUUUUUUUUUUUUUUUUUGGACAAAGUAUAAUAAUAUUGAGGGACCUUUCUAGGGAGCCUUUGGUCCUUUGUCCCCAUUUUCCAAAGGGAGGGAACUUUCCUCUUAAAAGAGACAGUGGGAACUUUUAGCCAGGUUUUUGGAAAAGGCCUGUGGGCUAUUAAUGAGAGUGAGCUGCAAAAGGAGGAAGGGUUUGUUUGGGUACUUUGAAGUACUUAGCUAGGUGUUUUCUACAGUAUCUUAUAUAAUUGCAUCUUACAGCAUCUUUACAUGCGAAAUAGUUUAUCAGUUAUCUUCAAUUGCAUAUUACAAAAUUCUGAUUAAAUUUUUCUUAAAUAAGAAAACUAUCAUUUCAUAUGACAAGAAAUCCUAAUUUAAUGUUACUCCAAGGUUGGUUAAUUCAGUGGCUCAGUGAUAACACCAAAGACUCAGUUUCUUGAAAUUUUUUUGCUCUGCCAUCCUCCAUGUUUAUCCUCACGCCAGUUCGCCUCAUGGUCCCAAUAUGGCUACUGUAAUUCUGGGAAGGAAAUGCUGACAGAACCGUGUCUGGCAAAAGAGAGACAGAUUUUUCUGUGUCCUUCUAAAGCAAGGAAGUCUUCCCCUGGAAGCUCCAACAGAUACGGCCUCAUGGCUUUGCUAGAAAUGGGUCAUCUCACUCCUGUCAUUGGCAAAGCAAGUAAGAUCAUCCAUCAGGAGUGGCUUAGAUUAAUGAAUUAUCCUUUGAGUCGUGUAGACUAGAAAGUUCAGUCAUGUCUACUAGCAAGAAAGGAGAUAAGGGCUGUUGGAUAAGCAGCAUCUGGUCUCAAAGGUACUUCAACUUUUACAGAUGAGAAACAUGAAUCAGAGUGACUUUCCCAGGCUCACAGCAAGUAAGAGAGGGCCUUCAGUGUUAGCUGUGUCUGUCCCUAAAGCCCAUGUUUUAUAUUGUAUCUUGCUAGAGUAUAAAGUAACUUACUUUCUACCUUGUAGAAACUGAUGGUCUAGGAGAAGAGAUUUGAACUCAGGUGCCCAGUUGACUCUAAUCUUGGCCCAUGUGAGAGGAUUGUACUCAGUUGCUCUCCUCAUCCAGUGAUGUUUCUUGUCUAACACAAGAAGCCUAGGAGUAGAAAGUCCUAAGCAGAGUAGAAUAAUAGCGGCAGCAGGGAGGGAAGUGUGAACUGUGUGUCCCUGAGCCUGACUUACUGGGCAGGGACAUGACACUUAAAGCGGCAGCUGGCCACUCUGUCUUUCCUGCAUGCACUGAGUAUUUGGUAGCUCAUUAGUGACCAGUGAUAUUGAUCAUCUUUUCAUGUGCUCACUUACUAUCCCCAUAUCUUUGUUGUUUGCAUCUUUUACCCAUUGUAUUUGUUGUUUUUGAGACAGUGUCUCACUCUGUCACCCAGGCUGGAGUGCAGUCUCAUGAUCGCGGCUCACUGCAGUUUCUGCCUCCUGGGCUCAAGCAAUCCUCCCACCUCAGCCUCCUGAGUAGCUGGGCUUACAGGCGCACACCACCAUGCCCAGCUAAUUAAAAAAAAAAUUUUUUUUGUAGCAGUUCGGUCUCAUUAGUAUUGCCCAGGCUGGCCUCUCUUAGCUUCAAGCUAUCCUCCCGCCUCGGCCUCCCAAAGUGCUGGAAUUACAGGCAUAAGCCACAAGCCACUGGGCCCAGCCUCUUUUACCUGUUUCAAAAUUGAGUUUUAUUGAGUUGUAAGAGUUCUUUAUUCAUUUUAAACACAAGUCCUUUGUUGGAUAUAUCUUUUACAUCUAUUUUUCCCAGUCUGUGGCUUGCCUUUUCAUUUUGAAGAGCAAAAGUUUAAAAUUUUGUGAAUUUAUUAAAGCUCCGUUUGUUGCUUUUUUCUGUUCUAGUUUAUACUUUUGUAUCAUAUUUUAGGAAAUUUUGCACUGGGUAUUUGAUGGCUCCUGAGGAGGUUCAACUUUCAGAGCGCACUGAUUUCUCUGCACCUGAGAUUUUGUACUAUUUCUGUAUUUCUUUCUUCUCAGAACAACCAGUGUCACCAGGUAUGAGGGCAGAGUUUUAGCUUGUUUGCUGAGCCCCAUUCUUGAAGCUCAUUUAUUUAUUCACCUAUCUGUCCAUCAAUCCAACAAAUAUACUGAAUGCUGCUAUGUGCCAGGUACUGGCACUGUUCUAGGUACUGGGGCAAUGACAGUUAAGAUAAUACCCAAUGACCCUGCUCUGUACCCUUAAGAGCAGACUCAGUUGGGAAUGAGUUAUCCAAAUAUAGGGUGUACAUGUAGUCAGGAGAGAGCCUCAUACAGCUUUGCCUUUGGCAGAAUCCUUCAAACCUCUUUGUCUUCCUACUUCUUGAUAUUACAAAUCAUGAGCCUUUCACAUGCAUUGACUCUAAAGAGGUGGGUUCCUGGAUAGCAGAAGUAGAUAGGAAGGCAUCAUUGACAUUUACUGAGAUGGAUUGAAUCAGAGGGUGUAAAUUCUGCUCCAUCAAUGUUGAAAAAGACUAGCCCACCCCAAAGGUUUAUCACUGUCACCAUGUCUAAUGUCUAUUCUGGAAGAAGCUGAAGAAGUCUGCCUUUGUUUAGGGAACCGGUUCCAGAAUCAGAGGGGUUGAGGAUAUAAAAGACCCUUGCACAAGAGUUGGUAUUUACCCUGUCAGAUGCUGCUACCAAGAUUUGGAUUGUGUACAGUCGAGGAUUAAAAAUGACUUUUAAGAUGC